GGAGCUUGCUUUUGCAAUUUUGAAAUAAUUUGUGCUUAGUACAAUUGUUAGUACAAUUGUUCUGACUUGAAUUUAAUUGCAAAAAAGGAGAGGAACACAGAAAAAAGUUUGGUCUCUUAGCUUGAUAGGUUGAAAAAUAUUCUAACAGACAUGGAAUAAUAAUGACAAUGGAAAUAACUUUCAAAUAGAACAAACAACAUUAUUCUUACCUUGGUCUGGUUAUUGUUUCUAGCAGAAUUCUGAUUCUGAAAAAAAAGAAAGUUGAAAGACUUUGUGUAUGUGUGUGUAAACCUGGUGUGGUUUAGCAUGUAAAAACAACAUUUUGCAUUUAGAGCAAUGCAUGAAACUCACUAAGGGGAUACUACAAGUCGGUUUAACAUCUUGAGAUAACUAGGAGUAGAGUUAGAUUCAUCAGUAUAUGGGUAGAUAACUAGGAGUAGAGGUAGAUUCAUCAGUAUAUGGGUAUAUAACUAGGAGUAGAGUUAGAAUCAUCAGAAUAUUGGUUGAGUAGAUAACUAGGAGUAGAGGUAGAUUCAUCAGUAUAUGGGUAUAUAACUAGGAGUAGAGGUAGAUUCAUCAGUAUAUGGGUAUAUAACUAGAAGUAGAGCUAGAUUCAUCAGUAUAUGGGUAUAUAACUAGGAGUACAGUUAGAUUCAUCAGUAUAUGGGUAUAUUACUAGGAGUAGAGGUAGAUUCAUCAGCAUAUGGGUAUAUAACUAGGAGUAGAGUUAGAUUCAUCAGUAUAUGGGUAUAUAACUAGGAGUAGAGUUAGAUUCAUCAUUGUAUAGGUAGAUAACUAGUAAGUAGAGUUAGAUUAAUCAUUAUAUAGGUUGAUAGACAGCAGUAGAGUUAGAUUCAUCAGAAUAUUGGUAGAAAAACUAGGAGUAGAGUUAGAUUCAUCAGUAUUAUGGGUAUAUAACUAGGAGUAGAGGUAGAUUCAUCAGUAUAUUGGGUAUAUAACUAGGAGUAGAUGUAGAUUCAUCAGUAUAUUGGUUGAGUAGAUAACCAGGUGUAGAGUUAGAUUCAUCAUUAUAUAGGUAGAUAAACAGGAGUAGAGUUAGAUUAAUCAGUAUAUUGGUAGAAAAACUAGGAGUAGAGUUAGAUUCAUCAGUAUAUAGGGAGAUAACUACGAGUAGAGUUAGAUUAAUCAGUAUAUAGGGAGAUAACUACGAGUAGAGUUAGAUUCAUCAGUAUAUAGGGAGAUAACUACGAAUAGAGUUAGGACAAUCAGUAAACAGGUAGCUGGCUACAAGGAGAGUUAGAUCAAUCAGUCAGAAUACAGGUAGAUGGGUAGGAUUAGAGUUAGAUGUUGGUAGAUUGAGUAAAAAGUCAGGAAUGUCUAAUUUCAGAGUGAGACAGAUAAAUGGGAAAAUUCACACACAUUUCUAGCUAACAACAUAGCAGCUAUUCACAAUAUUAUUUACAAAAUAAUAAUGAAAUCCUACCUUCGGCUUUAUAGUAUUCAAAGCUGCUUUGUAAUGAGCAUCGUUCUUUUCUAUUGUCCCACCAAGCCAGCUUUUCACGUUUUGUACCUCCCGCUGUACUUGGAAACCUCUGCCUUCAAGUUUAACUGCCCAUUGGUCAAUUAGCUUCUUACUGCUGUUUUGGUACAUAGCUUUGUAAUUCUUCAUCGCCUGUGUAUUCACCAGAGUGUUAUUCCGGAGACACAUUAGGUCUGGUGAGGCAGCCAGGACAGACAUCUUUAAAAAGCCCUCCACAUCAUUACUGCUAAUGUAUUGAGCUUGUAGAGUUCUAAAUUCUUUUAAAUUGGUGAGGCAACUCCUGUGUAAUUGAUCAGGCAGUGUGACAGUUAUAAGGUGCUGUCCAUGCUGUUUUUUCAGAUUCUUUAGGGAGUCACUGGUGAACGGUUUAUUGGUUCCUAUCUCUAUCAGUGACUUUGCCAGGUUGCUUUCAGGAUCCAUUUUGUAAGCAAGUAAGAUACUGUCAACUGCUGGCUGGUGGUCAGCAUGGAUAUUUUUACUAACACUGACACCUUGCAGUAGUUUCCGGUUGUUAUAGUAGGUAUCAACCAAACCCCAAUUUUCUGGGUUAUCCAUCCCCCCUUUUGCCAUGAACCAGCUGCCUCCCCGUAUCUCCAGUGCCCUCUGUCUGCACUUGAUAAGCGGCACCCACUUGUUCGGCUCCUUCAGGACCAUAUCUGCCCCUUGCUGCCUCAGCUGGGAGGCCCUGGAGUGGAUCUGUUCAUCAGAGGCAUCAGGGUCUAAGCCACGAGCGAACGCCUGGAACAUGCAAUUGUUCCCCUCGCCAGAGACCGGCACAACCUGGUCAUUGUGCAGAGCGUCGUAGUGACCCUGGGGAUAACGCUCACUACUGGGAUGGUACAGUAGGUUCACACUGCCCUGAUUGGAGCUCUGGCUGGGAUGAACCACAGACAUUUUCAUUUUCUGUCCUUGCCUGUUUGUGAUGUAAAUAACAACAGUCUUCCCGCUUUCUUCAGCCAGUAACCUGGCCUCCAGGAUGGUGGCUGGAUUGUAAUCAUGAGGGAAUGUGCUUUGCGGCCUCAUUUCCUCUGCGUAUGUUUCUGCCAAACGUUGAUCUUCCACUUUUGAAAGUUUAUUGGAUUUCCUUCUUAGUGGGGCAUUGGCUAUGUAACUGCUGUUCAGGCCUCCUACCAGCUUCUCUUUUGUCCUAUCAGUCAUCAGACGUUUGGAAAUGAACCCACCAAUGUAGCCAUUUAUUUGUUCUUGAGCGAGCCCAACCAAGUGGCUGGAGAAUUUCUGGUGAAAAACCUGGAAUACUGUUUCAGCCAGACAAGAAGCCAUCACUUCGGCCACCUCUGUUUUAAAUGCAUUUAAUUUCACCAUGUCAUUGCCACAAAUAUUUUUUCUUUUCUCUUCUAUUUUACUUUCAUCUGUUCCUCUCUUUCCAUAAAGCUCUUUCACUCUUUUCUGCAGCUCCUCCAAGAAUGCACUGUUGAAUUCAUUGGCAACUUCUUUGGCUGAAUAAAUUGCAUCGACACAGAGACCUCCCAUGUGAGCUGCCUGAAUUGCUUUACAAACUGCUCUCAUCUUUCCAUUAUUCUCCUGUGCAACUCUUUUAAUGACACUCUGAAGGGAUGAAUGCAGACGAUUUUGCCAGCCCAGGCCUGCACAGUGAGACCUCAGAACCUUUUCACAGAUAUCUGUAAAAAUCCUUUUCAUCCGUGAUCUUUUCUCUGGUUCAUCUAGAAGGUCACUGAGGUAUCCUUGCUCUUCAAUGUGCACAAGCACCAUCCUGUCGACCAAGGGUCCCAUUGGUUGGCAGCCAAUACUGUCUUUACACUUGUCCAAGACUGUGGUUUUGACAACUUCUUUAAUUUCAUUAGUGAUUUCAUCAAUAAUUUUCUCCUCUACUUUUCCCACUCCAUACAUUACAGUUUGCUGGACAACCUCCUUCCCAACAUAUUUCAAAGUGUUUUUCACAUUUUCUCUCAUGACUGCCUGCAGUCCACCCUUGGCCUGGUUAGAGAUUAGUUUCGGAAGAGAGGUGAGCUUUUUUCCAAAGCCACUAAUGGCAUUUUUGCUGGCUCUCCAGCCCUUGGAGAUCAGUUUUCCCACUCCAAAGCCAAUGAGUGAGACAGCCAGGGACACAGCUUUGCUGAUAGCCCAGGAGGCCCAGCUGAAAGUUCCUGUGAUCAUGGCUUCCACACCAGUGAUGCAGUCUGAUAUCCCAUCACUGAUGUACUGGAACCCCACUUGUAGCAGCACCCCACCAGUGAAUGCAGUGAGGAGGACCCCCCCCACAAUCUGAGCCACCCCCAGGAAGAAUACAGCUAGGCCUUUCCAGCAGAAUCUGGGCUUCUGCUUCACUGAAAACACCAUCUCCAUACCCAGCUUGUAAAACUCAUACAGCUCUUGGUGAACAUCGUCAUUGGGAUCCUCGACCAGAUUGAAGACAGAGCUUUCAUCAACAAGGGCUUCUUCUUUAUCCUGUUUGAUCAACUCAAGCUUCUCCAUUGCUCUGCUGAUGUUAUUGUGGAAGUAUGUGAGCACUUGUAUCCUGACCUGCAUCUGUUUCUGGAAGGCACUCUUGGUCUUCCCAGAGUCUCUAUCUGACAGGCUCACCAGUUGCUGGGUUAUUGUGCAUUGUUCUAAAAACAGUUCCACAGAAACCAAGGCCUUCUCCAAGUCUUUUGAUGCAUUUUCCAUACAGUCUUUUUGUUUUUGCCUCAGAGUGCAGUAAGCACGUUUAUAGAGCGCAAUAGCAGCCCAGCAUCUAUCCAGCUCUAUGGCACUACUGUACAGCUCUGCGCUCUCCUUCAGUUUAUUUUCACCGAGUAAUUUGUUUCCAAACUUGAUGAAAUGGUAGAUGCUAGAACAGGGAGAGAGGUUUUCUUGGGACUGCUGAUGGGCGCGUUUUAUAUCAGUCUCCAGGCUCUUCAUCAGCUGAGAUUUUUCCAACUUUUCAAUCUCAUCCGAUUUUCUCAGCAGCCAAAUCCCCCAGUACUCGUUCAGCACUGCCAAUGUCACCCUGCGCUUGCUGUUGUAGAUGUCUAAGUUGCCUAACGAUGAAUUGGAAAAGGGCUGGUAGAUCCCUUUGAGAAUCUGGCAAUAUUGGGAAAAGAGCUCCUCUCUGAGGGAGAUCUCAGGGAUAUCAUCCUGCAGGACACGGGAUACCUGAUCCAUGGCCAGUGAGUCUCUAGCUGCUCUGGCAUCCUGGAGUGUGGACGCAUUUCUCAGGGGCUCCUGCAGAUGUGCAGAGCAGAUGAUGAGCUGCGCCGAGCCAGGGCUCCCUUUCCUAGCCGUGCGCCCGAAAGCCUGCAUCUCCACUCGGGCGUUAUCAGGCAGGAAGGUGACGACUACAAACAGUCCCCCGGCCCCAUUCACCUCUUUGGAGACAAGCAGGUCUGUUCCACGACCUGCCAAGUUAGUGGCCACGAUCACAUCCCCAGGUCGGAGAAGCUGGCUUGUGAUGCUGGAGUUGUCCUGGUUGCUGUUGGUAUAGAGACUGAGCUGUUUCUCACUCCCCUGCUCUUUGAGAGCCUUGUGGAUGUCCAUUGCUUGGUUGAUAGACUCACAGAUGACCAGUGCUGCCCUUCCAUCUCGAUAGGAGGUUGGACGAGUCUGCUCCAAGACAGAGGAGCAAAUCCUCUCCCUCCACUUAUCCACAUUGCUCUCCAGCACCCCCUUGACCUCAGACAGCUUUUUCCGGUUGAAGGAUGGAAUCUCACAGGUGGAGAGGCCUGGGUAGAGCUCCUGCAGCAGAUCGAUCUCUGACUGUGUCCCCAAAGUCCCAGUGGUGCCGUACACCUGGCCCCCGUACUGCCUGAAGAAGGCCACGUUGGAGAGGUAGUUGGUAAUGAUGGACAUGCAGCUCAGCUUGGUUUGGUGUUUCAUCUCCAGGAACUGCUGCAGGCCAUUUCCCCACUUCUUGUUGCGCUCAACGAUACCGGUGCAGCUAUAAUCCACCGGGAGAAUUUGUUCCCCAUCUACUAUGUACUCCUGACCCUCCUGCACCUUGACGGCCAGGAAGGCAUUUUGAACCCAAACCCUUAGAUUCUUUUCCACCAGCUCUUUUAGGAACCCAGGGACUCUGGUUUUGUGUUUAUCUGCUCCACAUUGACAUUUAUCAUUCUUGUCUGGAUUACAUGCGCUAAACUGCAGCCGAUCUUUCACACCCUCCACAAUGGCGUCACAGAGGGUCUCCUCAUCCUCAUACAGAGCACAGCACAGGCCUUCAUCCAGAACCAAGAAAAAUACCUUGUGAUCAUUUUUUUCUCCCUCACUUUCCCUGUCAUUGUCUGAGUGAUGCAGCAGGGUUCCUCGCUGGUCUUGAGUGUAAGUGAUGAACUUAUAAAGUGAUGAACUUUUAAACCCCUUCUCAGGCAAGUGGAAAAACUGCAGCAUUGUGUCCUGGGACACUGUCUUUAAUUUCUCUGUUAGUUUCUUUGUAGAGUCACAGUCCUUGCAGAAGCCAUUGGGUAUCAACCCACUGUUCUCUGCCCGCUGUAAGAAUGUGAGUGGCUCCACACCAUCUUCAGUCUCCACAGAGUCAAACAGGGCUUUGUGAAAAGGCAGGACGGGGCCUCGGAUCAUGGUUCCCGUGCCUGUUGGCACCAGACCGUACUGGCUGACGAUACCCCAGAUCAUGGCCAGCACAAUAUUUAGGUGCUGCAUAGGAGCUACAUCAGUAGAGAGAUAGGUCAUCUGUACUCCCUUGUCUAACAGGAGAGAGUCCACCUCAUCCACAAUGACGCACUGAAAUCCACGGCCAGGCCUCACCUCCUUCAUUUCAAAGCUCUGGCGCAAGCAGUCUGCGGCAAAGCUCUCAGCCGUGCCAUAGACUACAUCACAACUGUAGCACCUCUUACGAUCCUCGUCUUUGUCUUUAUCCGUGUUGCAGUCGACAGAGACAUCAAAUAGGCUGUAGAAUGGACGCCAAUCAGCAGCAUCUCUCUUGGACAAAAUGGGAGAGCUGGAGAGCACAUCCACUCUCUCCCCUCGCAGAGCCCUGAAGGCUGUGAACAUGGCUACAACACAGGACUUCCCCUCACCUGUUCCAAGCUGCAGCAGCCUCCCUGAGACAGAGAGAGCCAGCAGACACCAGCUGACUAUCUGAGUUGUUCUGGGCCACCAGCCCUGUGUCUCAUACACAGCUUUGCAGAGAGCAAACAGGACUGCAGCCAGCUCCUCUCUCUUCAAAGUACAGUUUAGGGAGCCUUUGGAAAAUUUUGGGACCGUCCUAAUCUUGCAAGUCUGCCAAGACGCUAGAAUGCCCCUCACCUCUUGGAGUGUGGUCUCUGUGAUGCUUCUGUUUGAUUCACACAUUUCUUGGAGAAUGUCUUCCAGGCUCUUCUCACCCUCUGUGCUCAAGGAGUCUCUGAGCCGAGAAAUUAGGUGAGUGGUGGAGGCUUCAGAUUCUAGCAGCUGAGUCAAUGAGCAUCCAUCUCUGUCCCUGAAGCUGGGACAGACACAGUGGAUUUCCAGGGAAUGAAGCACUUUCAGGACCGAGGUGAAAAGGUUUUCCCCUUUUCUGAACUUUUUCACCAAGAAAAUGAAUAGGUCCAAAGCAUCUGCCGGAGCCCAUCGUCCACUCCUUACCAGGUCUGAUAGUUUGGAUAGAGAUUCUAUGCAGAGUUCCUCACUGCAAUUCUGUACUGCUGUGGCAGUCAGAAGCUCAUAGCACUUUUCCUUUGUCUGUGUGUCACAAGUAGACCUGAGGAAAGUUUCCAGGAACCUCAACAUGUACUGCUGAUACGGACAAAUGGCCUGCUUUGAGAAUUGCUGGAAAAUUGACGCCAUGUCCUCUCCAAAUGGUAGCUGGAUGUCUUUGGUGAGGGUUGAGAGUGUGUGGAGGAAUGUGUGCAUUAACUUGAAGCACUGAUCUGCAUUGUUUUUUGAGGUUGGCAUUAGAGAGUGCAGGAUAUCAGUCAGAUUAUGUGCAAGCUCUGAGCUUUGGGACAGCCUGGGGAAACAUAAUUCUCUGUUUGACAGAGGUUGUCCAAGAAUGAGGCAGUCAGGCAGAGGUGCCAAGCCUCUCCCUCUUGGACCAGAUCCAUGUUGGAGGAAGUCAUGUAUAAAACUCUCAAGGCUGCCACAGACAAUAUCCGACUCACAGUGCUGGGUUAAUGGGACAGUAGUGCUUGUUUGCACGUUAAUUCCAAGCAUCUGGUAGAAUGAAGACCAGUCCUGUGGCCUAUAGGAGGGAGAGCCCAGAACUAUACCCACCUGUCUGCCCUGAAAGACCAUCAGGGCUGCAUGCAUUACUGCCACACAGGGGUCUCUUUCCAGUGUGAGGAACUCAUCGUCGCUGUUAUUAAUGGCCAGGUUACACCAUCUGACCAUUUGAGCUACUGUGGGCCCCCUGCCCUGUGUGUGGAGCACUGCUCUGCUCAGGAUGGAAAGUAGUAUCUUCAGCUCUGUUUGCCCAAAUUUGGAGCCUCUCAAAGAGCCCCUGUAAAGGCUUUUGUGAGAUAUAACUGCAUUGACUUUAUCUUUAAUUUCACACUGAUUGUCUUUCAUUUCUUUGUGCACGGUAUUGAUCACACUCCACCGUCGUUCUGGCACCUGGGUAAGGAGGAACUCCAGGUUAUGUGUGCAUUCCUUCUGCAGCUCCUUGUCUAAACCAGAGUAAAAUGUGUUGAAAUCACAUGUUGACUCCAGCAGGGUGUUUAAUGAGUGGCCCUGCUUGUCUCUCCAGGAUGAGGGCAGAUUGUGCCGUUCCACCAGGUCUAGGACACAGAGCGCACCACUAGGGCUCACCCUAUUCUGUGCUAAACUCCCUAUUAAGUCCAGUGCCUCCAGGGAUGUCCAGUUAACAUCCAAAAGUGCCAGUACUGCUGGAGACAGAGCAGCAAAGGAAUCGGUUUCUGUAAGUGGCCACUGCCCUAUAGCAUCUAGUAUCAGCUCCAGACACUUCUCCUGGACACCCAAAACUGGGCCUGUUUCCUUUUCCAGGGCUCUGAGGAGGAGCUCCAGAAACUUGGCAAGGAAGAGCUGCUCCAAGGAGAUGUCUUCCUGACUCCAUUCAUUAGCCACAGAGAAGACACUCAGCUGGGAAUCAGGCCUGUCCUCAAAGAGAUUAGUGAAAGUCAAGAACAGGGCCUGUGUGAAGUUGAGAUAUUGCCACUCCUCUUCCUCAACUACUGCCACCGUCACUGCAUAUCCCACUGUCUGUACUGCCAGCUGCAGCUGGUCAGCAGCACACUCCAGAGAGGCAUCGCUGUGAGUGUCCAGCGCCAUCACACAAAGCUCUGCGAGCAGGACCUGAGUGUGAGUCAGUGUGUCCAUCGGGGGUGGCUGCUCCUCCCAUUCCUGGAACAGGAGCUCCCGGAGAGAGCGAGAAAGGGACAGGACCUGCUGGGGUCGGAGUCUUCGGAGAUCUAUGUCUCCCUCAGGGAUUCCACACUUUUGAGACAGGAUGCUGAGUAAUCCUCUGUCUGGCUGUCUGCUCUCUGGGGAGCGGCACUGUGACUGGAAUGUCUCUGUGACCACUGUGGUUUCACGCCUCUCCUCCUCUGCUCUCCUCUCAUUUCUCCUCUUUUCCUGCAACUCAGUCUGAGUCUUUUCCAGACUAAACCCCACUUCCCUUAUUCUCCUCUCCUCCUCCUGCUUCUCUCUUCUCUCCUCCUCCAUCUGUCUCUUCUCCUCCUCCAUUAAUCUUUUCUCCUCCUUUCUCCUUCUCUCCUCCUCUUGUCUCCUUUUCCUUUCUUCCUCCUCCCUCAGUCUUGUCUCCUCCUCCUCUCUCCGUCUCCUCUCUUGUCUCCUUUUCCUCUCCUCUUCCUCCCUCAUUUGCUCUUCUUCUGCAUCCUGCUUUCUCCUGUAACACUGCUUGCAUAAGUUUAAAUUCCUUUCUUUAAGCCUAGCUACCAGGUUCCAUCCAAAAUCCAAACCAAAAACAAGUUUGAUAAGAAAAGUCAAAAAGUCAAUAUCUAUUGUUCUCCCACACUCUCUGCACAGUACAAUUUCAAGUGCAGCUCCCAUACUGGCAUGGGUCCUCUGUGACUGAAGAGAUGAUCGGAAACCUGGAAGACAAAAAACAUAUUUAUUAACAUAUACAGGUGCUGGUCAUAUAAUUAGAAUAU
This is a long non-coding RNA of Esox lucius (northern pike), 9522 nucleotides long. NCBI's taxonomy places the organism in Eukaryota, Metazoa, Chordata, Actinopteri, Esociformes, Esocidae. The record is from Ensembl.